UGCUGGGAUGUGAUGGGGAGCGAAAUUUAGUAGCGAAGUAGCUGAUUUCACACUGUCAAGAAAAGUCUCUAUCGAGGUUAAAGGUACCCGUACCGCAAACCGACACAGGUGGGUGAGGAGAGUAUCCGAAGGCCAGCGAGAGAACUGUUGUUAAGGAACUCGGCAAAAUGACCCCGUAACUUAGGGAUAAGGGGUGCCACCAUCAGGUGGCCGCAGAGAAUAGGCCCAAGCGACUGUUUACCAAAAACAUAGGUU
Molecule: ribosomal RNA, 255 nt
Filed under: Clostridioides difficile
Lineage: Bacteria; Bacillati; Bacillota; Clostridia; Peptostreptococcales; Peptostreptococcaceae
Description: partial 23S ribosomal RNA
Rfam family: Bacterial large subunit ribosomal RNA
Source: RNAcentral